GGGUUGUGAGGUUAAGCGACUAAGCGUACACGGUGGAUGCCCUGGCAGUCAGAGGCGAUGAAGGACGUGCUAAUCUGCGAUAAGCGUCGGUAAGGUGAUAUGAACCGUUAUAACCGGCGAUUUCCGAAUGGGGAAACCCAGUGUGAUUCGUCACACUAUCAUUAACUGAAUCCAUAGGUUAAUGAGGCGAACCGGGGGAACUGAAACAUCUAAGUACCCCGAGGAAAAGAAAUCAACCGAGAUUCCCCCAGUAGCGGCGAGCGAACGGGGAGCAGCCCAGAGCCUGAAUCAGUGUGUGUGUUAGUGGAAGCGUCUGGAAAGGCGUGCGAUACAGGGUGACAGCCCCGUACACAAAAAUGCACAUACUGUGAGCUCGAUGAGUAGGGCGGGACACGUGGUAUCCUGUCUGAAUAUGGGGGGACCAUCCUCCAAGGCUAAAUACUCCUGACUGACCGAUAGUGAACCAGUACCGUGAGGGAAAGGCGAAAAGAACCCCGGCGAGGGGAGUGAAAAAGAACCUGAAACCGUGUACGUACAAGCAGUGGGAGCACGCUUAGGCGUGUGACUGCGUACCUUUUGUAUAAUGGGUCAGCGACUUAUAUUCUGUAGCAAGGUUAACCGAAUAGGGGAGCCGAAGGGAAACCGAGUCUUAACUGGGCGUUAAGUUGCAGGGUAUAGACCCGAAACCCGGUGAUCUAGCCAUGGGCAGGUUGAAGGUUGGGUAACACUAACUGGAGGACCGAACCGACUAAUGUUGAAAAAUUAGCGGAUGACUUGUGGCUGGGGGUGAAAGGCCAAUCAAACCGGGAGAUAGCUGGUUCUCCCCGAAAGCUAUUUAGGUAGCGCCUCGUGAAUUCAUCUCCGGGGGUAGAGCACUGUUUCGGCAAGGGGGUCAUCCCGACUUACCAACCCGAUGCAAACUGCGAAUACCGGAGAAUGUUAUUACGGGAGACACACGGCGGGUGCUAACGUCCGUCGUGAAGAGGGAAACAACCCAGACCGCCAGCUAAGGUCCCAAAGUCAUGGUUAAGUGGGAAACGAUGUGGGAAGGCCCAGACAGCCAGGAUGUUGGCUUAGAAGCAGCCAUCAUUUAAAGAAAGCGUAAUAGCUCACUGGUCGAGUCGGCCUGCGCGGAAGAUGUAACGGGGCUAAACCAUGCACCGAAGCUGCGGCAGCGACGCUUAUGCGUUGUUGGGUAGGGGAGCGUUCUGUAAGCCUGUGAAGGUGUGCUGUGAGGUAUGCUGGAGGUAUCAGAAGUGCGAAUGCUGACAUAAGUAACGAUAAAGCGGGUGAAAAGCCCGCUCGCCGGAAGACCAAGGGUUCCUGUCCAACGUUAAUCGGGGCAGGGUGAGUCGACCCCUAAGGCGAGGCCGAAAGGCGUAGUCGAUGGGAAACAGGUUAAUAUUCCUGUACUUGGUGUUACUGCGAAGGGGGGACGGAGAAGGCUAUGUUGGCCGGGCGACGGUUGUCCCGGUUUAAGCGUGUAGGCUGGUUUUCCAGGCAAAUCCGGAAAAUCAAGGCCGAGGCGUGAUGACGAGGCACUACGGUGCUGAAGCAACAAAUGCCCUGCUUCCAGGAAAAGCCUCUAAGCAUCAGGUAACAUCAAAUCGUACCCCAAACCGACACAGGUGGUCAGGUAGAGAAUACCAAGGCGCUUGAGAGAACUCGGGUGAAGGAACUAGGCAAAAUGGUGCCGUAACUUCGGGAGAAGGCACGCUGAUACGUAGGUGAAGCGACUUGCUCGUGGAGCUGAAAUCAGUCGAAGAUACCAGCUGGCUGCAACUGUUUAUUAAAAACACAGCACUGUGCAAACACGAAAGUGGACGUAUACGGUGUGACGCCUGCCCGGUGCCGGAAGGUUAAUUGAUGGGGUUAGCGCAAGCGAAGCUCUUGAUCGAAGCCCCGGUAAACGGCGGCCGUAACUAUAACGGUCCUAAGGUAGCGAAAUUCCUUGUCGGGUAAGUUCCGACCUGCACGAAUGGCGUA
This 1986-nucleotide ribosomal RNA is filed under the name Shigella flexneri. RNAcentral describes it as "partial 23S ribosomal RNA". It matches the Rfam family "Bacterial large subunit ribosomal RNA", at positions 1 to 2003 of the family's 2925-position model. The record is from RNAcentral. Lineage: Bacteria; Pseudomonadati; Pseudomonadota; Gammaproteobacteria; Enterobacterales; Enterobacteriaceae.